Molecule: long non-coding RNA, 1258 nt
Organism: Ictalurus punctatus (channel catfish)
Lineage: Eukaryota; Metazoa; Chordata; Actinopteri; Siluriformes; Ictaluridae
Source: Ensembl
GGCACUCGCCAGUCUUAUUGCAUUACCCGUCUCUGAAGCCUUGUGGAACACCACCUGCUCGUGUUUUUAGGAGAUUAGAGAAUGCCACGCCAGGGUGUGGUACAAAUUUAACAACUAUAUCGAUUUCUGUCCAGCGAUCUUCUUCUCAAUCAUCAUGAUAUAAAAUUGUAAUAUCGUCACAUGCCUAUUUAGAAAUGUGGUUUUGCGUUAUAGAGUGUGUGUGUACAGUAUGCGCGGGUGUUUGUGCGUGAGUGUGUGUAUGUGUAUGUGUGUGUGAGUGUGUGUGUUCGUAUAUAUUUUUGGAGCAUUUACAGAGUUUUGUUCGGAUUGUAAAAGCAUGUGAUCAGGAAAGAAGGAAUGAAGGAAGGAAAGAGAAGAGAAUCGAAUGAAAAUAUAGAGCUUUUCUUUUCUUUUAACUUUUGAUAUUUAACAUUUUUUAAUUUAUAUGCAGUGGCUGUGUAGAUGGCUGUGUUCUGUUGUUUUUAAUAUUUUUAUUUAAUCCCAAACGGAAGCAAAAAAAAAAAAAACCACACAAUUAGGUCUAAAAUAAGAUCCUAAAUCACUUCAGUAUAUACUUCAUAUUUUUACGCAUUUAUACAAAGUUCAGCGAAAUUUGUCCGUAUUUUUCUAAAACAAUGAAGCGUCUAUGUUUUAAUGAAAAAAUUAUAUGACUGUAUUUGCAUUUAAUAAUAACGAGUCUUCGGAUAUAUAUUUUAAAGUUUUCCUUUUGAAGAAACAUCGAUGAACAUUUUGGUAUUGACGGUCCCAUUUUUGUUUUUUUUUUUGGAAAUUGUUUAAGUUAAAGUAUGUUACAAUAAAAAAUUGUAAAUUUUUAUGUAUGAAUGUUUGAUGUUUUGAAGUUCAUAACUUUGCUGCUCACACUGUGUUGUUUUCCAAAAAGGGAAAGAAAGGAUUAGAGGAAGGUUCGAUUUGUGCGAGAGUACGAGCACUGAAAUCAAAAUCAUUUCUGUUUUUAAAUAAAGGAUCAAAAUGCAAGUGUUAAAAAGGACCGAAUUAUUCAAAAAUAAAAUGUGUUCAAGUUUGAAGAUGAUUUUAUUAAAACUGUAAAUUGUCUUCUUUUAUUAAAUGUUUAUCGUUUAUUUAAAUGCUCCCUAAAAACAUAUGCUAAAGUCUAAACAGACUAAAUUAUAAAAUAUAAAAAAUUAUAAAAUAAGCUUUUUAUGAAUUCAUUUUAUUUAAGAAUACUUCCUUACACUUAUAUGAUGAUAAAUCAUAAAGGAUGAAACAUAAAUGUUUG